CUGUUGCGGACAGAUCCAGUGAAUAUGGGUAUCCACGCCGCCCGCCGUCACGAUCUUGCCUUCGCCGGCGAUCGCUUCGGUGGCGACGCCGAUGGGGAUCGUCACGUCAGGCUGAAUAUCCGGAUUCCCGGCUUUGCCAAUCGCAAAGAUCCUGCCGUCUUUAAUGCCAAUAUCCGCUUUGACGAUCCCCCAGUGAUCGACAAUCAGCGCAUUGGUGAUCACCAGAUCCACGCAUUCCUGAGACGGCAUUUGCCCCUGGCCCAUGCCGUCGCG
RNAcentral lists this small RNA (273 nucleotides) under Citrobacter farmeri. RNAcentral describes it as "5' ureB small RNA". It matches the Rfam family "5' ureB small RNA". The record is from RNAcentral. Lineage: Bacteria; Pseudomonadati; Pseudomonadota; Gammaproteobacteria; Enterobacterales; Enterobacteriaceae.